UGAGGAAUAUUGGGCAAUGCCCGCAAGGGUGACCCAGCAACGCCGCGUGGAGGAUGAAUGUCGUAAGAUUGUAAACUCCUGUUAGAGGGGAAGAAUAGUACCGGUUGGACCGGUAUAUGACUGUAACCUCAGAGAAAGCCCCGGCUAACUACGUGCCAGCAGCCGCGGUAAUACGUAGGGGGCAAGCGUUGUCCGGAUUUACUGGGUGUAAAGGGCGCGCAGGCGGGAUAAAAAGUCAGUGGUGAAAUCUCCGAGCUUAACUUGGAAACUGCCGUUGAUACUAUAGGUCUUGAAUUAUCUGGAGGUAAGCGGAAUAUGUCAUGUAGCGGUGAAAUGCUUAGAUAUGACAUAGAACACCAAUUGCGAAGGCAGCUUACUACAUAUAAAUUGACGCUGAGACACGAAAGCGUGGGGAUCAAACA
This 422-nucleotide ribosomal RNA is filed under the name uncultured bacterium. RNAcentral's name for it is "bacterial SSU rRNA". It matches the Rfam family "Bacterial small subunit ribosomal RNA", at positions 355 to 774 of the family's 1533-position model. The record is from RNAcentral.